This 371-nucleotide ribosomal RNA is filed under the name uncultured bacterium. RNAcentral describes it as "bacterial SSU rRNA". It matches the Rfam family "Bacterial small subunit ribosomal RNA", at positions 527 to 896 of the family's 1533-position model. The record is from RNAcentral.
GGGGGGGCGAAGCGUUGUUCGGAAUUACUGGGCGUAAAGGGCUCGUAGGUGGCCAACUAAGUCAGACGUGAAAUCCCUCGGCUUAACCGGGGAACUGCGUCUGAUACUGGAUGGCUUGAGAUUGGGAGAGGGAUGCGGAAUUCCAGGUGUAGCGGUGAAAUGCGUAGAUAUCUGGAGGAACACCGGUGGCGAAGGCGGCAUCCUGGACCAACACUGACGCUGAGGAGCGAAAGCCAGGGGAGCAAACGGGAUUAGAUACCCCGGUAGUCCUGGCCCUAAACGAUGAAUGCUUGGUGUGGCGGGUAUCGAUCCCUGCCGUGCCGAAGCUAACGCAUUAAGCAUUCCGCCUGGGGAGUACGGUCGCAAGGCUG